This 403-nucleotide long non-coding RNA is filed under the name Pan troglodytes (chimpanzee). RNAcentral's name for it is "lncRNA (ENSPTRG00000053961.1)". The record is from RNAcentral. Lineage: Eukaryota; Metazoa; Chordata; Mammalia; Primates; Hominidae.
CAGGACACUGAACUUGUCGCAUUUUCUUCCUCUCUAGGCCCUUGGCAGCCUCAAUAUUUUUGCCCAGAUUUUCUAUGUGAGUAGAGUUUCGGGAUUCUCUGCUUUUUCUGCACCCAGGCAAUAUGAUUUCUGCUCAUUGCUACAAUAUUAUUUACACACAGCCAGCUCACAGACCUGCAUCUCUUGUUCAGGCCUUUCCACGGAUCUAUAAGGAAGCGUGAUUCUGGUUUUCAGUUCUUCGAAAUCCCUUCCUGCUGCUGCCUGCUAUCAAGAGGCCCAUCUUUGCAUCCUCCCACAAGUGCUGUGGAAAGGAACCACCUGAGUGUGUAACUUCCGAGCAGGGGAGGGCCUGAGCUUGUGAUUUUCUGAGGAUUAAUUUGUUGGUCAAUAAAAUAAAAGGUAC